AUAUAAAUAGGCUAAAUUUAAGCCUUUAAGCUCAUAACUUAACAAUAAAUUAAAAUUUUUUAUAUA
Molecule: transfer RNA, 66 nt
Filed under: Abispa ephippium (large potter wasp)
Lineage: Eukaryota; Metazoa; Arthropoda; Insecta; Hymenoptera; Vespidae
Description: tRNA-Met
Source: RNAcentral